Molecule: ribosomal RNA, 665 nt
Filed under: uncultured bacterium
Lineage: Bacteria
Description: bacterial SSU rRNA
Rfam family: Bacterial small subunit ribosomal RNA
Source: RNAcentral
AUGCUUAACACAUGCAAGUCGAACGUGCCUUCGGGCAAGUGGCAGACGGCUGAGUAACGCGUGAGUAACACACCCUUCGGUGGGGUAUAGCCUCGGGAAACUGAGGGUAAUCCCGCAUACGAUCCCGAUACCCUGGUAUCGGGAUGAAAGCCUUCGGGCGCCGGAGGAGUGGCUCGCGUCCUAUCAGGUAGUUGGUGAGGUAACGGCUCACCAAGCCGAUGACGGGUAGCUGGUCUUAGAGGACGAUCAGCCAGAGGGGGACUGAGACACGGCCCCCACUCCUACGGGAGGCAGCAGUGGGGAAUAUUGCACAAUGGGCGCAAGCCUGAUGCAGCAAUGCCGCGUGUGUGAAGAAGGCCUUAGGGUUGUAAAGCACUUUCAAUAGAGAAGAAAAGCUUAGAGUUAAUAACUCUAAGCAUUGACGUAACCUAUAGAAGAAGCACCGGCUAAAUCCGUGCCAGCAGCCGCGGUAAUACGGAUGGUGCGAGCGUUAAUCGGAAUUACUGGGCGUAAAGCGCGCGUAGGCUGUUUUAUAAGUCGGAUGUGAAAUCCCCGGGCUCAACCUGGGAACUGCAUCCGAAACUAUUUAACUAGAGUAUGGGAGAGGUAAGUAGAAUUUCCGGUGUAGCGGUGAAAUGCGUAGAUAUCGGAAGGAACACCAGUGG